UACGUAGGGUGCGAGCGUUGUCCGGAAUUAUUGGGCGUAAAGGGCUCGUAGGCGGUUUGUCGCGUCGGGAGUGAAAACUCAGGGCUUAACCCUGAGCCUGCUUCCGAUACGGGCAGACUAGAGGUAUGCAGGGGAGAAUGGAAUUCCUGGUGUAGCGGUGAAAUGCGUAGAUAUCUGGAGGAACACCGGUGGCGAAGGCGGCAUCCUGGACCGAUAUUGACGCUGAUGCGCGAAAGCCAGGGGAGCAAACGGG
RNAcentral lists this ribosomal RNA (253 nucleotides) under uncultured bacterium. RNAcentral describes it as "partial 16S ribosomal RNA". It matches the Rfam family "Bacterial small subunit ribosomal RNA", at positions 524 to 776 of the family's 1533-position model. The record is from RNAcentral.